UCAAGACCUUUUCAAGAGACUCUUGAGGAUAUGUAGAGCAAUAAUAAUUUGAAAAAAGUUAGCAUUAAUGUGUAGGCUUGAACGUAAACUAUAACAUAUUUUAGAGAGAUAAUUGUAUAUAGAUGUCGGAUCGUUGACACUAAUCAUUAAUUCCAAAAGCUCGGGCUGUUAGAAAUAUACAACCAAUUCACUUAAAGCAUACAGAUACAAUACCUAUGGAUUUUGGUUAUCACUCGGCCCAACCAAUCCCAUACCAUUUCGAACAUGACUCGGCCCACCCAGCCUCACGUCAUUUCGAAUAUGACUCAGCUUACCCAGCCUCACGCCAUUUCAAACAUGACUCGGCCCAAUAUGGCCUCCUGCCACAAAGCAGGAUGCUGACUCAUUUAAGCCAACAAUUUCUCCUCUAGCACCUGCACACAUUCGUAGCACACAAAAAUCAAAUCUGUGAUCUCUGACUCUGAUACCACUUGUCGGAUCGUUGACGCUUAUCAUUGAAACAAGAGAAUUGAGAAAUUUUUAAUAUAUUAUUCAUACAAAUCCAUUCUCUUAUAUAAAGAGAGGAAAAAAGGUUUACAUGGAAGUACAUGAUCGCAUCCUGUUAUACAAAGAAAUAAUCAAAAGGAUA
Molecule: long non-coding RNA, 628 nt
Filed under: Ananas comosus (pineapple)
Lineage: Eukaryota; Viridiplantae; Streptophyta; Magnoliopsida; Poales; Bromeliaceae
Description: long non-coding RNA (ACOM_LNC024561)
Source: RNAcentral